This 1719-nucleotide unclassified non-coding RNA is filed under the name Leishmania donovani. Its description in RNAcentral is "gene:LdHU3.29.1390(CDS-product:A-1_protein_putati ve)". The record is from RNAcentral. Lineage: Eukaryota; Euglenozoa; Kinetoplastea; Trypanosomatida; Trypanosomatidae.
AGGUCACUGUUACUUGUUCGUCAUCUGGGAUCCCCACUGCUUCUGCAAAGGCUCAAGGUUUCAUUGACAAGAACCCAUUGUUUCCCAGGAGGGGCGCACGCUACCCACUGUCAGAGCACUCGUUGCCCCUCCGCAGAAAAAAAAGGGCCAGCGGUGCAGAAUGGACGCCGCCAGGAAACGUCACAGAGGGAACGCGUCAGAAGCGGCAGCCAGAGGUGAUGAAGAUGACUCGGCCGCGAUCCCCGGACGUGAGGCACGGCACCAAGUGCACAGCAGCAAAAGCGCCAUCCCUUUCACGUCUACUCCCGAGGAAGCGUGUGGGGAUGAAAGCGACUACGCUGUCCUGGUGAAACGGAGCACGGCACUGUUGGCAAAGCUCGGCCAGCGCAAUGUACUCGACAACUGCGCAGCCCAAGAAACCAGCAGCACGCAAAAGGAGGCAACACAACCAAUGACACUUCCGUGUAGGUUUGAGAAUCACAAGUUCAGCUUGUACGGUGUUUCUUGCUCCGCUGGCUCUCUUGUUUUACCCUUUGCCACGGCUGCGUGCAUACAGCCCACAGAGCUGGCUCAUCGCUCCACCAAGUGCACACAAACGGAGUCAUCGACCACUCUAGAAGCCCGCAAGAAGCUGCUAGCUACGGAGUUGAGUGAGCUCUACACACUGUUGCAUGUCUUUUUCUCGUGAUACGUUCGCGUGCUCGCGAGUUGCUUUUUUCCCCUUGCUCUUUUCUUUUCUUCACGGACAUGCGCGCUGAUGGAAGGUUCUGCUGUACUGCGAGCACCACUCUCUCUGCUCAUUGAUUUCACUGCUGCUGCUUACGGCUCAGACACUGCAUCGAUUCCUCGAACUCACAGUUAGCGAUUCAAGCCGUGCCUGCGUGCAUCCUCGCACGGCACCUGGCGUUGUUGUGCUCCUUCACCUCGGGACGCUUUCUCGAGAUGUCAGGAAUGUUCUUUCCAGCACACGUUAACUGGUGGUGGCUUUAUAAUAAUAUAUGUAUAUAUAUAUUUUGCUAGCAAGUACCGCAGAUCUUACGCCCGCGCCAUUGGUUCUCCUUGGACCUCUGCUCAUGCUUUUCCUCUCUCGUCCCUGUCUCUUUGCCUUCUGCAUCGCUGUCGUUUUUCCGCCAGGCUCUCUCUUCUGCGCGAUGCCUUCGCCCUACUCAGUAGUCGUUUGUCUUCCGCUACCCUGUCGCAUUUUUUUUUCUUUGAAAGCUUACGACAGGAAUGAAAGAGGGCGGGAUGAUCUAAGUAAUAAAAAAGACGAUAGGAUGAUGAGGAGUGAGUCAAGGCACUUUCCACGAUUCCAAUGACAUGCUUCACCACACACGUAUCUUUUCUUCAUUUUGUUCUUCUGCUCAUUUCAGAUCUCGAGGAAUGGAGUCAUGACAAGCGUUUGCUUUUUCCCUCCACCCGCCCUCCUCUUGAUUACUCACCAUGACAGGGGGAUCCUUGGGUGACGGAAAAGGGGGAUACGUAAGUCUACCUAUUCGUGGGUAGGGUUACCCGAUGGGGACCUGAAAAUAACAGAAUUCUCACUGAUAGCUGUGCCAGCUCCAGAGGUAUCGAGGUCGCGAGCAAAGGGAUACCAAAUCGGUGUACUCGUCCACGGCAAUGGGAAACUCACCAACCAGGAAGAGUUGGAAACACAUGGAUCGCAAUGCAUCAUGCCUAUCUUGUGACAUCGUUCUCUCUCUCCUUUUAUUCUUCUCUCAG